This 1035-nucleotide long non-coding RNA is filed under the name Dermacentor andersoni. RNAcentral describes it as "uncharacterized LOC126546568". Lineage: Eukaryota; Metazoa; Arthropoda; Arachnida; Ixodida; Ixodidae. The record is from RNAcentral.
GUCAGUAGCAAGGCUUGCGGCGCCGGCGAUACGUUUGGCGGCCCUGGCGCUUGACGUCCCAGAAGUAGCAGCGCUACUCGCGUUCGCCACCUGCUCUGCGGCGGCACUGUCGCUCUGACGAGGCUUUCGCUCCGCGGUUGACAGACGGGCCGCCACUGUGGGGGUCGCGGUUCCGUAUUUCGGUCGUUUGUUCUUCGUCUGGGACAGAGUUGUGGUGGUGGUGCCCAUGGUGGCAGUAGCCCCACCCUCGUCGCCUUCGGAUUGACGCGUUGCGCGGACGCGGGGCCGUUGAGACGCCGGCGUCGUGCUGCUGGUGCCCGCUGAGGCUUCGGCGUAGCCUGGAAGCGGUGGCGACCCUAAUCUUGGAGUUCUCUCUCCUGGAGUUGGUGCUUCCAACGUACGAGUGGCCGUUCGUCCUCCAGGAGUUAGGCCUCCGGGUGUACGGCCACCUGGAGUCCGUCCGCCGGGAGUUCGUCCACCGGGGGUUCGCUCGCUCGCAGUACGACUGCCAGAAGUCUCCCCGCCAGUGGAGGUCGCUUGCUCAACCGGCGGUAGGGUUUGUCCACCAGGAGUACGCCCUCCAGGAGUUCGACUGCCUGGAGUUCGACCACCUGGGGUUCGAGUACCGGGAGUUCGUCCGCCGGGUACUCCCCCUGCAGGAGUUUUUUGACCGGGAGUACGACCACCUGUUAGCCACCCGCUGAACGGCCACAAGCGGCCUCGCUGUCGUCCCUUGGCCCACACGUCGACUGGAGCAUUUCUGUCGAACGCCCUGCCCCGAGUUAGCUGCUCGUGGUUUCAUCUUCGACGUCUUGCUCUGCGUUGAGACAAGUGUCAACCUGGCGUCCGACAUCAUGCUGCUCAAGGUGCUCAAUCAACCGGCCGAAGUGGUGGAGACGUUGCGCAAGUUCCUGACGUUGAACACCGGAACCAUAGUGUUUUGCUGCGUAGUCCACAUAGCCGCAUCCCACUACACAGCUCAGAAUGUCCGCGUGGAAGGAGCUAGAUCCGUCAAAGAAGAAAAUGAUGUGCGGG